Apodemus sylvaticus (European woodmouse) is the source of this 2336-nucleotide long non-coding RNA. RefSeq lists it as uncharacterized. The record is from RefSeq and is a predicted model, not a curated record. NCBI's taxonomy places the organism in Eukaryota, Metazoa, Chordata, Mammalia, Rodentia, Muridae. The transcript has 2 exons.
CCCUCCCUCCCCCAGAGGUUUCCCCCAGUUUGGGGUAGGACUGGCUGUUCUCAGUGCUCUGAGCCUGUGGUUUAUCUGCUGUGGCCUCCUUAGGAUUUGACUUCUGAACCUGAUACCUCGCUGUUGAAUGAACAGACAGAUGAGACGGACAGAAUCAAGCUCCUCUCUGGGGCCACGGCUUCACCAGGACAAGCCUUGGAGGAAAGACCUCUUAUUCCUUUUCGUUAUUCAAUAUCGCUAGCUCCCCAGCCACCUCCAACCCUGUCUAGCUUGAAUUCCACCCAGUGUCGAUGUCCACCCAGCCUGGAAGGCAUGUGAUCUCAGCAGCCUGCUUUUGACUUCUGGUGACAGCUGUAACCUCAGUCUUCCUCAAUUACUAAGACUCCUGAUAAUGCUGACCGAGUUGGAAGCCUGUGGGGACUGGAUAUGUUUCCUGGGCGAGGCUAUGGAUAGCCCUGAAAUAUGAUGAACUCAAAGAAGUUGGUGAUUCUCCUCAGCCUGUGUCCAGGCCCACAGGAGCCCACUGGAAAGAUGGACUAGGGACCGGGGAUGGAGUUCAAUUGGAGAGCAUCUGACCAGGAUGCCCGAGCUCUGCUUUCUAUCCCCUGCACCCCAUAAACCAGGCGUACCAGCACUUGCCUACAAUCCUAACACUUGGGAGGUCGAUGCAGGAGGAUCAGAAAAGGUGAUCCUCAGCCUCCGAGUGAGUCAAGGCUAGACUAUUUACAGGAGACCCUGUCUCAAAAGUAAACAAACAGAAAUAAAAAUAGAGAAGUAGACUGAUCUAAAAUUUAAAAAAAAAAUCUGCUGAGUGUGUGUGUGGGGGGGUACAAGUUUAAUCUGGCAUUGGGCACACAAGGCAGGAAGAUCAGACUUUCAAGGCUAGCCUUGGCUACAUGAGACUGUGUCUCAAAUAAGCAAAUAAAAUUCAAAAGAAAUUCAAUGAUACAAGAUGGCUUAAAAUCGUCCUCCCAGGCCCACGGAGGAGGAGCGGUCAAAUCAUCCGCCGGCAGUGUCAGAAGCCCAGCAGGGAUGAGAGGAUCCAUCUCCCAUCUUGUGACUCCUGUGCCUUCUCCCUCUCUCCACUUGGAGACAAGGUCUCACUUGUAUCUCAGCUUGGCCUGGAAUUCUCUACGUAGCCCAGGUUUUCCUUGGAUUUGCAGUAGUCUGAGCCUGGGGCUUCCUGAGUGCGGGGCUUCCUGAGUGCGGGGCUUCCUGAGGCGGGGCUUACGGGCACAGCCAGCACCAGUUCAUACUGCACAGUGCUUGUUUGUAGUUUGCUCAUUUGGAGAAGAUUGACUGGAGGAAGCGGAGGAAAGCAGUCAUCCAGCUACCUCAUUACAGAAAUGCCACCAAUUGAGGCGACAAGACUCUCCAUGCAACGUGGUGUCCCGAAUUGAAUCUUGAAACAGAAAAAAAAAAGACCCCCAACGGGAAGAUGGAGGAGCCAGCUCAAGCCAGCCAUUUGGUUAACAGCGCUGCACUAGGGCAGACAACGUCCUCGUUUGGAUCCGUGUCAUUUAUUAUUCUGUGGGAUCCUGACAUCAACCACUGCAGUACGGGAGCUUCAUGUGCUUUUCACAGAUGAUGAGAUGGGGCCGUCACACCCCAGUUUCUCACAACCGUGAUGAACAGGACCAGCAGGAUUAUGUGAGACACAGGAUGUGAAGUCCCUCUGGGACCCCGUGGGACCUUGGGCAAAUGUCUCCAGUUCUCUGACCACGCCCCUCAUCUGUAAAGAACAGGGGUAACCAUUAGGACCAUACAGAGCGACAGAGCCAGACUACACUGAAGCUCUGCUGCUUCCAAAUGGCCUGGUUGGAGUGGUGAUGUAAGCUCAGCCCAUCCGCUGCCAAGGCAGGGCAGAGGUAGAAGAGAAAAGCCCCCGACACCAUAUGUUCCAGUCUCUCAGCCACAGAUCAAGGCAGCAAACUAGUUCUUAAAAUUGCAUCUACUGCUCUCUCACUUCGACACAGCCUAGAGAGACAGAUUUUGAGUUAAGAAUUCUUUUUUUUAAAAAAAAAAUCAAGGUGGGUGGUGGUGGUCCACACCUUUAAAUCCUAACCCUCAGGAAGCAGAGGCAAGUGGAUCUCUAAGUUCGAGGCCAGCCUAGUUUAUAGAGUGAGUUCUAAGACAGCCAGGGCUACACAGAGAAACCCUGUCUCAAAAAACCCAAAACAAACAAAACAAGCAAACAAACAAAACAAACCAACAACCCUCCACCCUCCCAAAAAACACAAAAUAAUAUGCACGUAUAUGUGUAUGGUGUUUCUUUUUCUGUUUUCCUUCCUUCCUUCCUUCCUUCUUUCUUUUCUUCCUUCCUGUCUUUUUUUUUU